AACAGAAGUCAUAUUCGUCUCAGCGCACCAGCACUAAUUAAUUGUCCUGUAAAAGUGUUUUUAUGAUUUAACGUAUUCAUAUUGCAUAUUGUUAUGCAUCUAUUGGAAUACCCUAUAAUUACAGCAGUUUCUCUUAUGAAGCUAGAUUGAUUGACAUGUUUUUUAAAUGUGUUGUACUAAAUGUGUUUAUACUUAUGUUUUAGACAAUGGACUUUUUUCGUGAAGGAAAAAAGGCAACAAUAGAAUUUCUGCCUGUUAACUGAAACAUUUCAAGGCCUUCGUGCAGAAAUUGUCUUUAAACCCUUCCUGCCAUCUGCACCAUACCACACAAAUGGAAAAAUGGUCUGCACAUCAUACACGGAAAUGAAGUUGUCCUUCAUUGACAUUCAACCUGUAAGUAAAAGCAACACUUAAAAUUACAGUGCCCUGUGUAGUCAAGUCACCUUUAUUUAUUUUGUACAAGACACACGUUGUACAAUACAAAUAGUUCCAAGAAGAUAUUUUGAA
Carassius auratus (goldfish) is the source of this 507-nucleotide long non-coding RNA. RefSeq lists it as uncharacterized. Lineage: Eukaryota; Metazoa; Chordata; Actinopteri; Cypriniformes; Cyprinidae. The transcript has 2 exons. The record is from RefSeq and is a predicted model, not a curated record.